CUAGAUGUUUGAUCCUGGCUCAGGACGAACGCUGGCGGCGUGCCUAAUACAUGCAAGUCGAGCGGAGAUUUGAAAAGCUUGCUUUUCAAAUCUUAGCGGCGGACGGGUGAGUAACACGUGGGCAACCUGCCCUUGAGACGGGGAUAACUCCGGGAAACCGGAGCUAAUACCGGAUAACACAUAUCUUCGCAUGAGGAUAUGUUAGAAGGUGGCUUUUAGCUACCACUCAAGGAUGGGCCCGCGGCGCAUUAGCUAGUUGGUGAGGUAACGGCUCACCAAGGCGACGAUGCGUAGCCGACCUGAGAGGGUGAUCGGCCACACUGGGACUGAGACACGGCCCAGACUCCUACGGGAGGCAGCAGUAGGGAAUCUUCCGCAAUGGACGAAAGUCUGACGGAGCAACGCCGCGUGAGUGAUGAAGGUUUUCGGAUCGUAAAGCUCUGUUGUUAGGGAAGAACAAGUACCUGUUGAAUAAGCAGGUACCUUGACGGUACCUAACCAGAAAGCCACGGCUAACUACGUGCCAGCAGCCGCGGUAAUACGUAGGUGGCAAGCGUUGUCCGGAAUUAUUGGGCGUAAAGCGCGCGCAGGCGGUUCCUUAAGUCUGAUGUGAAAGCCCACGGCUCAACCGUGGAGGGUCAUUGGAAACUGGGGAACUUGAGUGCAGAAGAGGAGAGCGGAAUUCCACGUGUAGCGGUGAAAUGCGUAGAGAUGUGGAGGAACACCAGUGGCGAAGGCGGCUCUCUGGUCUGUAACUGACGCUGAGGCGCGAAAGCGUGGGGAGCGAACAGGAUUAGAUACCCUGGUAGUCCACGCCGUAAACGAUGAGUGCUAAGUGUUAGAGGGUUUCCGCCCUUUAGUGCUGCAGCAAACGCAUUAAGCAC
This 884-nucleotide ribosomal RNA is filed under the name Priestia filamentosa. Its description in RNAcentral is "bacterial SSU rRNA". It matches the Rfam family "Bacterial small subunit ribosomal RNA", at positions 1 to 867 of the family's 1533-position model. Lineage: Bacteria; Bacillati; Bacillota; Bacilli; Caryophanales; Bacillaceae. The record is from RNAcentral.